RNAcentral lists this ribosomal RNA (490 nucleotides) under uncultured bacterium. RNAcentral describes it as "partial 16S ribosomal RNA". It matches the Rfam family "Bacterial small subunit ribosomal RNA", at positions 30 to 507 of the family's 1533-position model. The record is from RNAcentral.
AUUGAACGCUGGCGGCAGGCUUAACACAUGCAAGUCGAGCGGUAGCACAGGGGAGCUUGCUCCCUGGGUGACGAGCGGCGGACGGGUGAGUAAUGUCUGGGAAACUGCCUGAUGGAGGGGGAUAACUACUGGAAACGGUAGCUAAUACCGCAUAACGUCGCAAGACCAACGAGGGGGACCUUCGGGCCUCUUGCCAUCAGAUGUGCCCAGAUGGGAUUAGCUAGUAGGUGGGGUAAUGGCUCACCUAGGCGACGAUCCCUAGCUGGUCUGAGAGGAUGACCAGCCACACUGGAACUGAGACACGUUCCAGACUCCUACGGGAGGCAGCAGUGGGGAAUAUUGCACAAUGGGCGCAAGCCUGAUGCAGCCAUGCCGCGUGUGUGAAGAAGGCCUUCGGGUUGUAAAGCACUUUCAGCGAGGAGGAAGGUGGUGAGCUUAAUACGUUCAUCAAUUGACGUUACUCGCAGAAGAAGCACCGGCUAACUCCGUG